Molecule: ribosomal RNA, 468 nt
Filed under: uncultured bacterium
Lineage: Bacteria
Description: partial 16S ribosomal RNA
Rfam family: Bacterial small subunit ribosomal RNA
Source: RNAcentral
GACGAACGCUGGCGGCGUGCUUAACACAUGCAAGUCGAACGGAAAGGCCCUGCUUUUGUGGGGUGCUCGAGUGGCGAACGGGUGAGUAACACGUGAGUAACCUGCCCUUGACUUUGGGAUAACUUCAGGAAACUGGGGCUAAUACCGGAUAGGAGCUCCUGCUGCAUGUUGGGGGUUGGAAAGUUUCGGCGGUUGGGGAUGGACUCGCGGCUUAUCAGCUUGUUGGUGGGGUAGUGGCUUACCAGGGCUUUGACGGGUAGCCGGCCUGAGAGGGUGACCGGCGACAUUGGGACUGAGAUACGGACCAGACUCCUACGGGAGGCAGCAGGGGGGAAUAUUGCAGAAUGGGCGGAAGCCUGAUGCAGAAACGCUGCGUGCGGGAUGACGGCCUUCGGGUUGUAAACCGCUUUCGCCUGUGACGAAGCGUGAGUGACGGUAAUGGGUAAAGAAGCACCGGCUAACUACGUG